GAGAUCUGUUCGUACAAAGUUGCGAUCGUGUCAAGUGAUCGUACAUUUUCGCUUGUAUUCCGCUGAAGAGCUGCACUUUGCGUACUGGAGAAGGAGAGAAAAAGAGAGAAAAGAGUCCAUGAGCGAUUGGUGUGCAUUUUGUUGUUAUUUCCAUGAAUAAAGAUAACAACAACAAGCCUCAUGAAUCGGCAAAGAUAGUGGAGAGCACAGACAGAAAAGGGGAGAAAAAGGCAAUCCACAUUUGGGAGAAUGUUUCCAAUUCGUAUAGCCAUUGCAGAGCAUGUUCGCGGCCGCUAACAGUCGUCAGCGGUAGUCAGUCUGGUUCAACACAUCCACCGGAUCGGGCAGUCUGCCGGUACCGAAGUUGCGUUUGCGUUCAACGCUUCAUUGAUCAGCAGGCACGUGUGCGUGUGUGGUGUGAAAAAUUUUCGAAAAGGAAGAGCUAAACGUGACAGACGUGCCGAAGAUUGUGAAAGAAAGGCACGGCUAGUGAAUCACGUUGUAGUGGAUGCCUUUUCAAAGCGCAUACUUUAGUGAGUGAGCUAAUGAAGCGAAGAAAUCAGAAGAAAUGAACACAAAUAAAUAAUAACAUAGAAUUACAACCGUAGUGAACUUGAAGUUGACGUGAGGAAAAAUAAAACCCAUCUCAGCAGUGAGAAGUGUGUACGGCAGGGAAUACUGUGGCAUGGGACGGAGUUCUAAGAAUCUACAGUCCUAUCGGUGAACACGAUCUUGACAAUUUGGAGAACGACCAAGCCAUAACAAUAAAAGUGCCAACAAGUGUUUAUUUUUUCUCCUGUUCCCGCCCUCUUACACAGCCCCUUGCGUCAACGGUGAAUCAAGCCGACACGACAGCCAAGGAAACGGAUGGAAAUUUAAUUCGUUUCAAUUGAUAGUUUGACAUUUUCAAGCGUAGAGUAAGAUACAGAUAACAGUGUUGAGAGUUCGUGUUCCCUCGACUGAUCGAAGUGUGUGCAACAUGCUGAUGGUUUGCAGUCGAAACGCGUGAACGGUGGGUUCGAGUACGGUGAAGUUCUAUUUCUUGCUAUUGGACACAAGUGUCAAUACUUGGAAUUGUGUCAAGCCAGCAGAUGGUCGUGAAGUUGUUACCAGUGGUGUGCGUGGGAUAGUUCGACGAUGGAACCGAGAGUGAUCUUCCUGAAGCCGAAGAACAGACGAAGUGGUAGUUUUACUAACAGAGGUGAGUCUUCCAUCCAGGUGAAAUAACAUCAGCUCUGACAGCUAGGCGCGUGUUUCGAUCAGCGAAUGACCUUCAUUUUUUCGCUCUCUCGUUCGGUUUGAGAAGUUUAUCCUAAGACAUCUGAACUGGUCUACAUAAUUAUGGGAAAUACGUGCGUCAAGGGGCAAGUUUUUACU
This is a long non-coding RNA of Malaya genurostris, 1377 nucleotides long. RefSeq lists it as uncharacterized. The transcript has 3 exons. Lineage: Eukaryota; Metazoa; Arthropoda; Insecta; Diptera; Culicidae. The record is from RefSeq and is a predicted model, not a curated record.